UACGAAGGGGGCUAGCGUUGCUCGGAAUCACUGGGCGUAAAGGGUGCGUAGGCGGGGCUUUAAGUCAGGGGUGAAAUCCUGGAGCUCAACUCCAGAACUGCCUUUGAUACUGAGGAUCUUGAGUUCGGGAGAGGUGAGUGGAACUGCGAGUGUAGAGGUGAAAUUCGUAGAUAUUCGCAAGAACACCAGUGGCGAAGGCGGCUCACUGGCCCGGUACUGACGCUGAGGUGCGAAAGCGUGGGGAGCAAACAGG
This 253-nucleotide ribosomal RNA is filed under the name uncultured bacterium. RNAcentral describes it as "partial 16S ribosomal RNA". It matches the Rfam family "Bacterial small subunit ribosomal RNA", at positions 524 to 776 of the family's 1533-position model. The record is from RNAcentral.